RNAcentral lists this ribosomal RNA (459 nucleotides) under uncultured bacterium. Its description in RNAcentral is "partial 16S ribosomal RNA". It matches the Rfam family "Bacterial small subunit ribosomal RNA", at positions 338 to 795 of the family's 1533-position model. The record is from RNAcentral.
CCUACGGGAGGCAGCAGUGAGGAAUAUUGGUCAAUGGGCGGGAGCCUGAACCAGCCAAGUCGCGUGAGGGACGACGGUCCUAUGGAUUGUAAACCUCUUUUGUCGGGGAACAAAGGCGCCCACGGGUGGGCGGAUGAGUGUACCCGAAGAAAAAGCAUCGGCUAACUCCGUGCCAGCAGCCGCGGUAAUACGGAGGAUGCGAGCGGUAUCCGGAUUUAUUGGGGUUAAAGGGUGCGUAGGCGGACAGUCAAGUCAGGGGUAAAAAUGCGGUGCUCAACGCCGUACAGCCGUUGAAACUGGCAGUCUGGAGUGGGCGAGAAGUAUGCGGAAUGCGUGGUGUAGCGGUGAAAUGCAUAGAUAUCACGCAGAACUCCGAUUGCGAAGGCAGCAGACCGGCGCCCGACUGACGCUGAGGCACGAAAGCGUGGGUAUCGAACAGGAUUAGAUACCCCGGUAGUC